Molecule: ribosomal RNA, 1353 nt
Filed under: uncultured bacterium
Lineage: Bacteria
Description: bacterial SSU rRNA
Rfam family: Bacterial small subunit ribosomal RNA
Source: RNAcentral
GACGAAUUUUGGCGGCGUGCUUAACACAUGCAAGUCGAACGGAAAGGCCCUGCUUUUGUGGGGUGCUCGAGUGGCGAACGGGUGAGUAACACGUGAGUAACCUGCCCUUGGCUUUGGGAUAACUUCAGGAAACUGGGGCUAAUACCGGAUAGGAGCUCCUGCUGCAUGGUGGGGGUUGGAAAGUUUCGGCGGUUGGGGAUGGACUCGCGGCUUAUCAGCUUGUUGGUGGGGUAGUGGCUUACCAAGGCUUUGACGGGUAGCCGGCCUGAAAGGGUGACCGGCCACAUUGGGACUGAGAUACGGCCCAGACUCCUACGGGAGGCAGCAGUGGGGAAUAUUGCACAAUGGGCGGAAGCCUGAUGCAGCAACGCCGCGUGCGGGAUGACGGCCUUCCGGUUGUAAACCGCUUUCGCCUGUGACCAAACGUGAGUGACCGUAAAGGGUUAAAGAAGCACCCGCUUAAUACCUUGCCAACAACCCCGGUGAUAUCUAAGGUGCGAACGUUGUCCGGAUUUAUGGGGCCGUAAAGGGGUCGUAAGUGUGUUGAUCCCCCCCGAAAUGUUAUUCUUGGGGGCUUUAACCCUGAAAGUGCUUUCGAUACGGGUUGACUUGAGGAAGGUAGGGGAGAAUGGAAUUCCUGGUGGAGCGGUGGAAUGCGCAGAUAUCAGGAGGAACACCAGUGGCGAAGGCGGUUCUCUGGGCCUUUCCUGACGCUGAGGAGCGAAAGCGUGGGGAGCGAACAGGCUUAGAUACCCUGGUAGUCCACGCUGUAAACGGUGGGUACUAGGUGUGGGGUCCAUUCCACGGGUUCCGUGCCGUAGCUAACGCUUUAAGUACCCCGCCUGGGGAGUACGGCCGCAAGGCUAAAACUCAAAGGAAUUGACGGGGCCCCGCACAAGCGGCGGAGCAUGCGGAUUAAUUCGAUGCAACGCGUAGAACCUUACCUGGGUUUGACAUGGAUCGGGAGUGCUCAGAGAUGGGUGUGCCUCUUUUGGGGUCGGUUCACAGGUGGUGCAUGCCUGUCGUCAGCUCGUGUCGUGAGAUGUUGGGUUAAGUCCCGCAACGAGCGCAACCCUUGUUCACUGUUGCCAGCACGUUAUGGUGGGGACUCAGUGGAGACCGCCGGGGUCAACUCGGAGGAAGGUGGGGAUGACGUCAAGUCCUCAUGCCCCUUAUGUCCAGGGCUUCACGCAUGCUACAAUGGCUGGUACAGAGAGUGGCGAGCCUGUGAGGGUGAGCGAAUCUCGGAAAGCCGGUCUCAGCUCGGAUUGGGGUCUGCAACUCGACCUCAUGAAGUCGGAGUCGCUAGUAAUCGCAGAUCAGCAACGCUGCGGUGAAUACGUUCCCGGGGCU